UAAGACACACAACUGAGCUGUAUAGUGUUUGUAAAUUUACUUCUAGGUGCUGAGAAACGUUCAGUUUCUGAACUUGAAGCCUUAUCCAUACAGUGUUCUGAAACUUUUACAAUCAAGUGCAGUACUGAUUAUUUUCGUUCGAUAUGUAUUCGAUCCGAUGCGGUCUGAAUUUUCAGGGUAUACGAAAUAUUUUUGUAGUGAACUGCUUUGGUAAUUUGAAUGGAAGUGGUAGUAUUUAAAUUACUUGUGUAUUUAAAACAAGAGCUGUAUCCAAUAUAUCCACAUUUAACGUGAAUUCUGUAAUUGAAUAUACCUUGGGCAUUCUCCAGCUGUACCAGUGGAUCAUAUAAUGAAACAUAAUUGACGACAUCUUGAGCCAGUAAACUAGCCCACAGGAAAAUAAAACGCAUACAUAUGUUCCUGGAAUUAAUUUUGACAGUUUUCCAGGUAAAAUGAAAAUGUCUACAAGAAAUGACUCUGGUGUCGAGAACAUUGUUGAGUCCUAUGAGGCAUUCCAAAUUCUUCAGGAGAUGUCAAAACUGUUAGAUACAGGCUUGGAUCCUGUCACACUGGCGUUCUGCAUUCGACUGAUUGAGCGUGGUGCUCAUCCUGAAGCCCUUGCCCAAGUAAUACUUGACAUCAGGAGAGAGGUGAAUGCACUGAAGGAGAAAGAAGAUACUCAUAGCAACUGAUACGUAAUAAUGCAGCUCUUAGAAAGAAAGUGAAUUUUCAGUCAUAAACAUAUUAUUACUUGUAAUGGCAGUGGCUCAGACUAACUGGCUUGGGUGCCUAUAAGACCUGGUCUCCUUCAUUGAUAAUUAAAUUAAAGCCAAUUUUUGGAAACCUACGCUCUUUUUCAAAUUGAGCAGUUAAGGGAAAUUAUUUGGAAUCCACUUAAAAGUGUGCCUCCCCCCCCCCCCCCCCCCUCCUGAACAGUUUUUUUUAUGUCAAAGCUGUGCUCUUUGAAUACCUCGUAAAUUACUUUUGUGUCUCGUGAAAGACUAUAAAGGUACAAAAUUGUCUUUAAGUAAAGUAAACAUGGGAACUAAGUGUUCCAUUUAUUACGUUAAGUAACAGCAAGGUUGUAUUACUUUAUACAAUGCAUGUAUGACUCGACAGUGAUGUAAUCCUGGUUUGUAUAGCUUGAUUUUAGUGACUUUAUGUGCAGAUCUGCAAAAUACUAAAAAUUAUUUUAGUAAAGCAAUGUAAAUAAUUAAUAACAAUGUAAAUCCGAACAAAAACCUUCAAACCUAAAAUAAUGUAUAAAAAUGGUGUGAUUUAGAUAUUAAAAAUUGUUUCCAGUAUGUAUUUGUGGCCACGUGCCACUAAUUAGAAUGGAAA
This is a long non-coding RNA of Schistocerca gregaria, 1341 nucleotides long. RefSeq lists it as uncharacterized. The record is from RefSeq and is a predicted model, not a curated record. Lineage: Eukaryota; Metazoa; Arthropoda; Insecta; Orthoptera; Acrididae. The transcript has 2 exons.